This 976-nucleotide ribosomal RNA is filed under the name uncultured Hypocreales. RNAcentral describes it as "eukaryotic LSU rRNA". The stretch from base 333 to 976 matches the Rfam family "Eukaryotic large subunit ribosomal RNA", at positions 1 to 667 of the family's 3401-position model. The record is from RNAcentral. Lineage: Eukaryota; Fungi; Ascomycota; Sordariomycetes; Hypocreales.
AAAACUUUCAACAACGGAUCUCUUGGCUCUGGCAGCGAUGAAGAACGCAGCGAAAUGCGAUAAGUAAUGUGAAUUGCAGAAUUCAGUGAAUCAUCGAAUCUUUGAACGCACAUUGCGCCCGCCAGUAUUCUGGCGGGCAUGCCUGUUCGAGCGUCAUUACAACCCUCAGGCCCCCGGGCCUGGCGUUGGGGAUCGGCGGAAGCCCCCUGCGGGCACAACGCCGUCCCCCAAAUACAGUGGCGGUCCCGCCGCAGCUUCCAUUGCGUAGUAGCUAACACCUCGCAACUGGAGAGCGGCUCGGCCACGCCGUGAAACCCCCAAUUUUUCAAGGUUGACCUCGGAUCAGGUAGGAAUACCCGCUGAACUUAAGCAUAUCAAUAAGCGGAGGAAAAGAAACCAACAGGGAUUGCCUCAGUAACGGCGAGUGAAGCGGCAACAGCUCAAAUUUGAAAUCUGGCCGCAAGGUCCGAGUUGUAAUUUGCAGAGGAUGCUUUUGGCGAGGUGCCUUCCGAGUUCCCUGGAACGGGACGCCAUAGAGGGUGAGAGCCCCGUACGGUAGGACCACCGAGCCUCUGUAAAGCUCCUUCGACGAGUCGAGUAGUUUGGGAAUGCUGCUCUAAAUGGGAGGUGUACGUCUUCUAAAGCUAAAUACCGGCCAGAGACCGAUAGCGCACAAGUAGAGUGAUCGAAAGAUGAAAAGCACUUUGAAAAGAGGGUUAAAAAGUACGUGAAAUUGUUGAAAGGGAAGCAUUCAUGACCAGACUUGGGCUUGGUUGAACAUCCGGCGUUCUCGCCGGUGCACUCUGCCAGUCCAGGCCAGCAUCAGUUUGCCCCGGGGGACAAAGGCGGCGGGAAUGUGGCUCUCUACGGGGAGUGUUAUAGCCCGUCGUGUAAUGCCCUGGGGCGGACUGAGGAACGCGCUUCGGCACGGAUGCUGGCGUAAUGGUCAUCAAUGGCCCGUCUUGAAACACGGACC